AACGAACGCUGGCGGCAUGCCUAACACAUGCAAGUCGAACGAGACCUUCGGGUCUAGUGGCGCACGGGUGCGUAACGCGUGGGAACCUGCCCUUAGGUUCGGAAUAACUCCCCGAAAGGGGUGCUAAUACCGGAUAAUGUCUUCGGACCAAAGAUUUAUCGCCUUUGGAUGGGCCCGCGUUGGAUUAGCUAGUUGGUAGGGUAAAAGCCUACCAAGGCGACGACCCAUAGCUGGUCUGAGAGGAUGAUCAGCCACACUGGGACUGAGACACGGCCCAGACUCCUACGGGAGGCAGCAGUGGGGAAUAUUGGACAAUGGGCGAAAGCCUGAUCCAGCAAUGCCGCGUGAGUGAUGAAGGCCUUAGGGUUGUAAAGCUCUUUUACCCGGGAUGAUAAUGACAGUACCGGGAGAAUAAGCGCCGGCUAACUCCGUG
Molecule: ribosomal RNA, 433 nt
Filed under: uncultured bacterium
Lineage: Bacteria
Description: partial 16S ribosomal RNA
Rfam family: Bacterial small subunit ribosomal RNA
Source: RNAcentral